AAACGUUCUCAAGAACACAGACAGGUUGAAGA
RNAcentral lists this non-coding RNA (32 nucleotides) under Homo sapiens (human). Lineage: Eukaryota; Metazoa; Chordata; Mammalia; Primates; Hominidae. The record is from RNAcentral.